GAGUGGCGAACGGGUGANNNAUACAUCGGAACGUGUCCUGUAGUGGGGGAUAGCCCGGCGAAAGCCGGAUUAAUACCGCAUACGCUCUACGGAGGAAAGGGGGGGAUCUUAGGACCUCCCGCUACAGGGGCGGCCGAUGGCAGAUUAGCUAGUUGGUGGGGUAAAGGCCUACCAAGGCGACGAUCUGUAGCUGGUCUGAGAGGACGACCAGCCACACUGGGACUGAGACACGGCCCAGACUCCUACGGGAGGCAGCAGUGGGGAAUUUUGGACAAUGGGGGAAACCCUGAUCCAGCAAUGCCGCGUGUGUGAAGAAGGCCUUCGGGUUGUAAAGCACUUUUGUCCGGAAAGAAAACCUCUGGGUUAAUACCCCGGGGGGAUGACGGUACCGGAAGAAUAAGCACCGGCUAACUACGUGCCAGCAGCCGCGGUAAUACGUAGGGUGCAAGCGUUAAUCGGAAUUACUGGGCGUAAAGCGUGCGCAGGCGGUCCGCUAAGACAGAUGUGAAAUCCCCGGGCUUAACCUGGGAACUGCAUUUGUGACUGGCGGGCUAGAGUAUGGCAGAGGGGGGUAGAAUUCCACGUGU
RNAcentral lists this ribosomal RNA (587 nucleotides) under Paraburkholderia sp. RNAcentral describes it as "bacterial SSU rRNA". It matches the Rfam family "Bacterial small subunit ribosomal RNA", at positions 93 to 676 of the family's 1533-position model. Lineage: Bacteria; Pseudomonadati; Pseudomonadota; Betaproteobacteria; Burkholderiales; Burkholderiaceae. The record is from RNAcentral.